Molecule: ribosomal RNA, 751 nt
Filed under: uncultured bacterium
Lineage: Bacteria
Description: bacterial SSU rRNA
Rfam family: Bacterial small subunit ribosomal RNA
Source: RNAcentral
AGUCGAGCGAGAGGGGGUAGCAAUACCCUAGUAAAGCGGCGCACGGGUGAGUAACACGUGGAUAACCUGCCUCGAAGUGGGGAAUAACCCCGGGAAACCGGAGCUAAUACCGCAUAAUCUGACGAGAUCUGUGGAUUUUGUCAGCAAAGGAGCAAUUCGCUUUGAGAGGGGUCCGCGGCUGAUUAGCUAGUUGGUGAGGUAAUGGCUCACCAAGGCCACGAUCAGUAGCCGGUCUGAGAGGACGGUCGGCCACACUGGAACUGAGACACGGUCCAGACUCCUACGGGAGGCAGCAGUGGGGAAUUUUUCGCAAUGGGGGCAACCCUGACGAAGCAACGCCGCGUGGGUGAUGAAGUAUUUCGGUACGUAAAACCCUUUCGACGGGGACGAAGCCGCAAGGUUGACGGUACCCGUAGAAGAAGCCCCGGCUAACUCCGUGCCAGCAGCCGCGGUAAUACGGGGGGGGCAAGCGUUGUUCGGAAUUACUGGGCGUAAAGGGCGCGUAGGCGGUUUGCUAAGUUGGAUGUGAAAACUCUGGGCUUAACCCAGAGCCUGCAUCCAAAACUGGCAAACUUGAGUACUGGAGGGGAAAGCGGAAUUCCUGGUGUAGCGGUGAGAUGCGUAGAUAUCAGGAGGAACACCGGUGGCGAAAGCGGCUUUCUGGACAGUAACUGACGCUGAGGCGCGAAAGCUAGGGGAGCAAACAGGAUUAGAUACCCUGGUAGUCCUAGCCCUAAACGAUGGAUACUUG